This 119-nucleotide ribosomal RNA is filed under the name Cicer arietinum (chickpea). The record is from RNAcentral. Lineage: Eukaryota; Viridiplantae; Streptophyta; Magnoliopsida; Fabales; Fabaceae.
AUGUGCGAUCAUACCAACACUAAUAAUCCCGAUCCCAUCAGAACUCCGCAGUUAAGCUCGCUUGGGCGAAAGUAGUACUAGGAUAGGUGACCUCCUGGGAAGUCCUCAUGUUGCACUUU